GCAGCUGGGGGGUGGAUUUGGGACCAAAGUCUGCACCCACAACCCUGAACCUCUGGAUCCUGUGCAAAGGCAAGGUGUGUGGAAUAAACACCUGCUGUGCACCCAGCUGGACUCUACAGCACCUACUGUGUAUUCACACUCCUGCAGGAACCCGUGUUCUUAAAGAUGAAUAAUGCUCCGCCCCCCGUGCCGGGUCUUCUGGGGAUGAGCCACAGCCUGGAGGAGCUGAGGAGGCCACAUCACAUGAGGAAGCUUUACUGUUUCCCCUUCUCCUGAAAUGUGUCUGGGAUGGAGAGUGUGGAGAGUGGGCCCACCUUUAUCUGGGUCCACUCAGGCUGCUGCAGAGACUACCCCAGACUGGGUGGCUGAUAGACAAGACAUUCAUUUUCCACACUUCCUGAGACUGAGAAGUCUGAGUUGAAGAAACCUGGAAGCAAGGAAGCCGCCACCAUGAUGCAGCGGGGAGUCCGAGGCCCUGGGAGGUCAUAUGACUCAUUCACGGUCAUCCUGCUGUGGCAGAGAUGCGAUGAAGCCCUGGCUUUG
Molecule: long non-coding RNA, 543 nt
Filed under: Sus scrofa (pig)
Lineage: Eukaryota; Metazoa; Chordata; Mammalia; Artiodactyla; Suidae
Description: lncRNA (ENSSSCG00060041406.1)
Source: RNAcentral